This 241-nucleotide ribosomal RNA is filed under the name uncultured bacterium. RNAcentral's name for it is "partial 16S ribosomal RNA". It matches the Rfam family "Bacterial small subunit ribosomal RNA", at positions 94 to 334 of the family's 1533-position model. The record is from RNAcentral.
CCGGGUGCACGGGUGAGUAACGCGUAUGCAACUUACCUAUCAGGAGGGGAUAACCCGGCGAAAGUCGGACUAAUACCGCAUGAAGCAGGGGCCCCGCAUGGGGAUAUUUGCUAAAGAUUCAUCGCUGAUAGAUAGGCAUGCGUUCCAUUAGGCAGUUGGCGGGGUAACGGCCCACCAAACCGACGAUGGAUAGGGGUUCUGAGAGGAAGGUCCCCCACAUUGGUACUGAGACACGGACCAA